GGCAAGGUGGCCGAGCGGUCCAAGGCGCCACGUUAAGGUGUUUAAACCCUUAAUCCAAAUCCGUGGUCUCGAAAGGGGCGUGAGUUCGAAUCUCACCCUUGUCA
Molecule: transfer RNA, 104 nt
Rfam family: tRNA
About the family: Transfer RNA (tRNA) molecules are approximately 80 nucleotides in length. Their secondary structure includes four short double-helical elements and three loops (D, anti-codon, and T loops).
Source: Rfam